UACGAAGGGGGCUAGCGUUGCUCGGAAUUACUGGGCGUAAAGGGCGCGUAGGCGGCUCUGUGAGUCGGGCGUGAAAUUCCUGGGCUCAACCUGGGGACUGCGUUCGAUACGGCAGGGCUAGAGGACGGAAGAGGGUCGUGGAAUUCCCAGUGUAGAGGUGAAAUUCGUAGAUAUUGGGAAGAACACCGGUGGCGAAGGCGGCGACCUGGUCCGUAACUGACGCUGAGGCGCGACAGCGUGGGGAGCAAACAGG
RNAcentral lists this ribosomal RNA (253 nucleotides) under uncultured bacterium. RNAcentral describes it as "partial 16S ribosomal RNA". It matches the Rfam family "Bacterial small subunit ribosomal RNA", at positions 524 to 776 of the family's 1533-position model. The record is from RNAcentral.